Molecule: unclassified non-coding RNA, 800 nt
Filed under: Hevea brasiliensis (rubber tree)
Lineage: Eukaryota; Viridiplantae; Streptophyta; Magnoliopsida; Malpighiales; Euphorbiaceae
Source: RNAcentral
UUCUACACUAAAUUGAAAACCCAUUCCGUAUUCCCCUUCUUUUCAUUCUUUUCUUCUUAUUCUUCCAAGACUACCAAAAACCCAACAAAUCAAUCCAAACAAACCCAAAAACCUAGCAAAAUUUUAGAAAAAACAAAGAAUUCCAUUCAACAUUCAAACUUUUUGAGCUUUUAGAAAAUCCAACAUUCAACAUCAGAUAAAUCCCCUAAAUCUCCACAAGAAUUUUAGUUGUGCUCAUCCUCUUUCAUAGAAAUCGACUUCUUCAUAUCAUAAUAUCGCUGGCUUCAUUUAGACUCAUAAAUCAGAGCUAUUUAUUGAUGAUAACACCAAUUGUAGAAUCUUCUAGAUAGGUGAUGAGUCUACAGAGCAAUGGAGGGAGUUUUCAUUUCUUUGGUGGGAGAAAAGACUGGGAUGUUGCUGAAGUUGCUAAGUGGAUUUGGAGAGGAGAGAUAGCGAACGCCAAAGUGGUGGUGGAUCUACCCCUUCAUCUAUCCUAGCGAGAGGUGCUCAUUGCGGAGGAGGAGAUGUAUUGCUAAUAGGACUCAGUCAUUCAGAGUCCUGUUGGGAUUCAAAAACAAAAAUUUAAAGAAAGUGAUGAAACUUAAAGGUUGAUUACUUGAUUUUUUGAGUUGAUGUUCAUGGUUGAUUUUGUUUUCUUGGUGCUCCUAUGUUGUCCCAAUUUUUCUGGGACUUAUUGUAAUUUACAGAUGUGUUGUUCUUGGUGUGUUCUUGUGUUGUUGCAAUUUUUCUAGAUUUUGAUUCAAUUUUGAAAUUUUUUUAUUGUGUUCUUGUAAUUUUGG